Molecule: long non-coding RNA, 785 nt
Organism: Capsicum annuum
Lineage: Eukaryota; Viridiplantae; Streptophyta; Magnoliopsida; Solanales; Solanaceae
Exons: 3
Source: RefSeq, a predicted model, not a curated record
CUCCAACCCCCUCAACUUCCCUCUUAAUACAUUAUAUAACACACAAGACACUAAUAGAAGAGCGGAAUACACAAAAACACACGGACAUAAACCAAAAAGAAAAAGGAAACAGAAACAACAAAAAUGAAAACAAAAGGAGGAGAAGAGAAAAAGUGAGAAAAUUGAGAGAAAAAGACAAAAGAGAAAAAAACGGAAAGGAGUUUGAAUAUUCUUGGGUUGAAAGAUUGAGUUUAGAUUUUCGUUCGAGUUUUUGGUUCGACGUAAAAGCUUUCUCGUUUGGUUUAAUUCGUCAUACAGGCAAAGAAUGUUUCCAUGGAACAAAUGAUGGCAUUGAGGAGUGUUGUUCGUGAUGUAAGUAUCAUAAGUAACUCUGAUUUUAAUUUAGGCAAAACACUCGGAUCGAAGGGAGUCUUGAAGCAACGGUGAAAUUGUCUUCGUCUGAUCUGGAUUUCAAGCAAAUACAAGGCCAGUCCAGGAGUGUAUCUAGCUAUGUAAGAAAGACCAAGAAUUGAUGAAUUAUUAAGCUUCAAAUUAAAUAAAUUCAAUGUGGAUUUUGAUGGAGAUAUCAAAUGGCGGUUCAUGUACUCAGCUUGAUCGAUCAGGAAAUGGUCGUCGAAUAUGCGAAGUUAAUGUCAGAAAUGGAGUCAAGAUGCAAUGCACUAUUAGGUUGGAAAUUCUUACCAAGUCUCCUCUAUGAUGUGUAUUGAUUUGUAUGUUCAUGAAUUUUUUAAAGAUAUGGGUUCUUCUUGAUUGCAAGUAUUUAUUGAAAGGUUAUUCCUGUUCCA